CCUACGGGUGGCAGCAGUGGGGAAUAUUGGGCAAUGGAGGCAACUCUGACCCAGCAACGCCGCGUGAGUGAUGAAGGUCUUCGGAUUGUAAAACUCUUUAAGUGGGGACGAAGAAAGUGACGGUACCAACAGAAUAAGCCUCGGCUAACUACGAGCCAGCAGCCGCGGUAAUACGGAGGAGGCAAGCGUUAUCCGGAAUGACUGGGCGUAAAGGGUGCGUAGGUGGUUUGACAAGUUAGUAGCGUAAUUCCGGGGCUCAACUUCGGAACUACUACUAAAACUGUUGGGCUUGAGUGCAGGUUAGGUGACUGGAAUUCCUAGUGUAGCGGUGGAAUGCUUAGAUAUUAGGCGGAACACCAGCGGCGAACGCGAUUCACUGGACUGUACCUGACACUGAGGUACGAAAGCGUGGGGAGCAAACAGGAUUAGAUACCCCGGUAGUC
Molecule: ribosomal RNA, 443 nt
Filed under: uncultured bacterium
Lineage: Bacteria
Description: partial 16S ribosomal RNA
Rfam family: Bacterial small subunit ribosomal RNA
Source: RNAcentral